This is a ribosomal RNA of Gossypium raimondii (Peruvian cotton), 118 nucleotides long. Lineage: Eukaryota; Viridiplantae; Streptophyta; Magnoliopsida; Malvales; Malvaceae. The record is from RefSeq and is a predicted model, not a curated record.
GGGUGCGAUUAUACCAGCACUAAUGCACGAAUCCCAUCAGAACUACGUAGUUAAGCGUGCUUGGUCGAGAGUAGUACUAGGAUGGGUGACCUCUUGGGAAGUCCUUGUGUUGCAGCCC